Molecule: ribosomal RNA, 324 nt
Filed under: uncultured eukaryote
Lineage: Eukaryota
Description: partial 18S ribosomal RNA
Rfam family: Eukaryotic small subunit ribosomal RNA
Source: RNAcentral
CCCUUAGAUGCUCUGGGCCGCACGCGCGCUACACUGGUCGAUGCAACGAGUUUCUUCCCUUGGCCGACAGGCCUGGGCAAUCUUUGAACAUCGAUCGUGAUCGGGAUAGAUUCUUGUAAUUUUUGAUCUUAAACGAGGAAUUCCUAGUAAACGCAAGUCAUCAGCUUGCAUUGAUUACGUCCCUGCCCUUUGUACACACCGCCCGUCGCACCUACCGAUUGAAUGGUCCGGUGAAAUCUCCGGACUGGCGUGAGUCGGAGCAAUCUGACAAACACCGGAAAGUUGAUUAAACCUUACCAUUUAGAGGAAGGUGAAGUCGUAACA